This 253-nucleotide ribosomal RNA is filed under the name uncultured bacterium. RNAcentral describes it as "partial 16S ribosomal RNA". It matches the Rfam family "Bacterial small subunit ribosomal RNA", at positions 524 to 776 of the family's 1533-position model. The record is from RNAcentral.
UACGUAGGGGGCAAGCGUUGUCCGGAAUCAUUGGGCGUAAAGAGCGUGUAGGCGGCCCGAUAAGUCCGCUGUGAAAGUCCAGGGCUCAACCCUGGGAUGCCGGUGGAUACUGUCGGGCUCGAGUCCGGAAGAGGAGUGUGGAAUUCCUGGUGUAGCGGUGAAAUGCGCAGAUAUCAGGAGGAACACCAAUGGCGAAGGCAGCACUCUGGGACGUGACUGACGCUGAGAUGCGAAAGCGUGGGGAGCAAACAGG